This 499-nucleotide ribosomal RNA is filed under the name uncultured bacterium. RNAcentral's name for it is "SSU rRNA". It matches the Rfam family "Bacterial small subunit ribosomal RNA", at positions 26 to 523 of the family's 1533-position model. The record is from RNAcentral.
AGGAUGAACGCUAGCGGCAGGCUUAAUACAUGCAAGUCGUGGGGUAACAUGGUAGUAAUACUGAUGACGACCGGCAAACGGGUGCGUAACACGUACACAACUUUCCUUUAAGUGGGGAAUAGCCCAGAGAAAAUUUGGAUUAAUACCCCGUAAUAUUAUCAGAUGGCAUCAUUUUAUAAUUAUAGCUUCGGCGCUUAAUGAUGGGUGUGCGGCUGAUUAGGUAGUUGGCGGGGUAACGGCCCACCAAGCCUUCGAUCAGUAGCUGAUGUGAGAGCAUGAUCAGCCACACGGGCACUGAGACACGGGCCCGACUCCUACGGGAGGCAGCAGUAAGGAAUAUUGGUCAAUGGACGAAAGUCUGAACCAGCCAUGCCGCGUGGAGGAUUAAGGCCCUCUGGGUUGUAAACUCCUUUAUCUGGAAGAAAUGCCUGUUUUCUAACGGGUUUGACGGUACCAGAGGAAUAAGCACCGGCUAACUCCGUGCCAGCAGCCGCGGUAA